AGAGUUUGAUCAUGGCUCAGAUUGAACGCUGGUGGUAUGCUUAACACAUGCAAGUCGAACGGUAACAUUGGAGCUUGCUCCAGAUGACGAGUGGCGGACGGGUGAGUAACGCGUAGGAAUCUGCCUAGUAGUGGGGGACAACAUGUGGAAACGCAUGCUAAUACCGCAUACGCCCUACGGGGGAAAGCGGGGGAUCUUCGGACCUCGCGCUAUUAGAUGAGCCUGCGUUAGAUUAGCUUGUUGGUGGGGUAAUGGCCUACCAAGGCGACGAUCUAUAGCUGGUCUGAGAGGACGAUCAGCCACACUGGGACUGAGACACGGCCCAGACUCCUACGGGAGGCAGCAGUGGGGAAUAUUGGACAAUGGGCGCAAGCCUGAUCCAGCAAUACCACGUGUGUGAAGAAGGCCUGAGGGUUGUAAAGCACUUUCAAUUGGGAGGAAAACAGCUGGGUUAAUAGCCCUGCUCUUGACAUUACCU
RNAcentral lists this ribosomal RNA (478 nucleotides) under uncultured bacterium. RNAcentral describes it as "bacterial SSU rRNA". It matches the Rfam family "Bacterial small subunit ribosomal RNA", at positions 8 to 480 of the family's 1533-position model. The record is from RNAcentral.